CCCCGCACGCCCGGGGCUGUGUCUCCGGAGACCCCACGGCCUGGUCCGGAGGCGUGUCUGGAACCCGGGAGCAGGCGGGACUCCCGCUCGCCGGCGUCUCAGAGCCUGGGGUUCGAAACCCAGCUCUGGCAGUCUCUCCGCGACCUCGGACGACCGGCCUCGGAGCCUCAGUUUCCCCGCCAGGGCGAGGCACCCCGGAGGCGGAGGGUAAGGAGCCCUGCGAGGCCACAGAUCUUGGACACCUGGAUGGAGGAGCUGCAUGUCUUGACUCCAGCGUCUUAGAGUGAUGCUUGCACAGGGCACAACCACUGGCACAAGACCAUGGAAUCCCUCUUGUUCCCUUGUUCCUUGCAUACGAUCUCUGUGUGCUGUAAGAGAGGGUCUAACACUGGUUCCUUCUGAAAAGAUGAUAUACUUCCAAGGACCAAUCACUGUUCUCUGGUAAAAUGUCCUUGUUGAAGCCCAAAGCAAGCCUGAGGCCGAUAAACUACUCUGCGGCACAUCUGAGUAUAGCUGACCCCUGAACACCUCAGGGGUUUGGUGUGUGGACUCCCCCCACAGUCAGAAAUCUACAUAUAAUUUAACUACUAAUAGCCUACUGUUGACCAGCCUUACUAAUAAUUUAAAUAGCCGAUUAACACAUAUUUUAUAUGUUAUAUGUAUUAUUCACAGUAUUCUUAGAAUAAAGUAAGCUAGAGUAAAAUGAUACUAAGAAAAUUUUAAGGAAGGCAAAAUACAUUUAUAGCAUUCACUGAAAAAAUCAUAUAUAAGUAGACCUGUACAGCUCAAACUCAUGUUGAUCAUGGGUCACUGCACUUAUCUUUCCACCAGUUGAUUUAUAUGCUCACCAAAACCAUGAUUGUCCACAAAAUAGUUCAUAUCUGUCAGGAUUGCUAAUGUCAAUACAUAAUAUAAUUAGAUGUUAUGAGGAAAGACAAAGUUCAAAAAUAGAAUGAUUAUUAAUACUUUCAAUAAUAAAGAUUUUUUAAAAAAUGUAAGAACAAUAAAAAAAUAAAAUGCUUCAUAGAAACCUGUACAAAUGCUUUGGAACAAUUUGAGAAAGGUAAAUCAUUAAAAAAUCACUGUCAAAUUAGGGCAGUUAGUAACUGUAAAAGAUUUGGGGAAAAAUUGUAAAAUCUAGGAUUUAAAAACUCAGAUUGCUUUUCAAGUGUCUUAAAGUUUUUCUUCCACCAUAAAUGGAAAUUGUAGACAAUGUACAAUGGUUUUGUGCUUUAUGCAAGAAAGAUGAAGUGAACUCCAUUCAUUAAAGCCUUCCCCGAAGUGAAGGUCCUAGCCCUCAGUCAGAAUUCUGGCAAAUAAAUGCACGUCCAUAAGUUAAAAUAA
This is a long non-coding RNA of Myotis brandtii (Brandt's bat), 1344 nucleotides long. RefSeq lists it as uncharacterized. NCBI's taxonomy places the organism in Eukaryota, Metazoa, Chordata, Mammalia, Chiroptera, Vespertilionidae. The record is from RefSeq and is a predicted model, not a curated record. The transcript has 5 exons.